RNAcentral lists this unclassified non-coding RNA (338 nucleotides) under soil metagenome. Its description in RNAcentral is "partial contains 5.8S ribosomal RNA, internal transcribed spacer 2, and large subunit ribosomal RNA". The stretch from base 1 to 120 matches the Rfam family "5.8S ribosomal RNA", at positions 35 to 154 of the family's 154-position model. The record is from RNAcentral.
GAUGAAGAACGCAGCGAAAUGCGAUAAGUAAUGUGAAUUGCAGAAUUCAGUGAAUCAUCGAAUCUUUGAACGCACAUUGCGCCCGCCAGCAUUCUGGCGGGCAUGCCUGUUCGAGCGUCAUUUCAACCCUCAAGCUCUGCUUGGUGUUGGGGCCCUACGGUUGACGUAGGCCCUUAAAGGUAGUGGCGGACCCUCUCGGAGUCUCCUUUGCGUAGUAACUAACGUCUCGCAUUGGGAUUCGGAGGGACUCUUGCCGUAAAACCCCCAAAUUUUCUAAUGGUUGACCUCGGAUCAGGUAGGAAUACCCGCUGAACUUAAGCAUAUCAAUAAGCGGAGGA